RNAcentral lists this ribosomal RNA (717 nucleotides) under Pseudomonas fluorescens. RNAcentral's name for it is "bacterial SSU rRNA". It matches the Rfam family "Bacterial small subunit ribosomal RNA", at positions 68 to 781 of the family's 1533-position model. The record is from RNAcentral. Lineage: Bacteria; Pseudomonadati; Pseudomonadota; Gammaproteobacteria; Pseudomonadales; Pseudomonadaceae.
GAUGACGGGAGCUUGCUCCUUGAUUCAGCGGCCGACGGGUGAGUAAUGCCUAGGAAUCUGCCUGGUAGUGGGGGACAACGUUUCGAAAGGAACGCUGAUACCGCAUACGUCCUACGGGAGAAAGCAGGGGACCUUCGGGCCUUGCGCUAUCAGAUGAGCCUAGGUCGGAUUAGCUAGUUGGUGAGGUAAUGGCUCACCAAGGCGACGAUCCGUAACUGGUCUGAGAGGAUGAUCAGUCACACUGGAACUGAGACACGGUCCAGACUCCUACCGGAGGCAGCAGUGGGGAAUAUUGGACAAUGGGCGAAAGCCUGAUCCAGCCAUGCCGCGUGUGUGAAGAAGGUCUUCCGAUUGUAAAGCACUUUAAGUUGGGAGGAAGGGCAGUAAGCUAAUACCUUGCUGUUUUGACGUUACCGACGUAAUAAGCGCCGGCUAACUCUGUGCCAGCAGCCGCGGUAAUACAGAGGGUGCAAGCGUUAAUCGGAAUUACUGGGCGUAAAGCGCGCGUAGGUGGUUCGUUAAGUUGGAUGUGAAAGCCCCGGGGUCAACCUGGGAACUGCAUCCAAAACUGGCGAGCUAGAGUACGGUAGAGGGUGGUGGAAUUUCCUGUGUAGCGGUGAAAUGCGUAUAUAUAGGAAUGAACACCAGUGGCGAAGGCGGCUACCUGGACUGAUACUGACACUGAGGUGCGAAAGCGUGGGGAGCAAACAAGAGUAG